CUAAUAGGAAUAGCCCCACCCACUUCUCCUAGAACUGGCAUAAUUCCCAGGAACCCACAUCAAGAACCUGUGGUACUUGAAGAUAAUUUAAGCUUGGCAUGCCAAGGAACAGCUAGAAGAGGAAAGUAACAAUUCUUCCAUGUAAGUUCAUUCAUUCUAAUAUAUUUAUGACUCUGGGGCAGGAUGGUGAUAGUGGGGCAGGCUGCACACAGAUGAAGAGGGGCACAGGGGAACUCUGCACCUUCUGUUUAAUUUUGAUGUGGUCUUAAAACUACCUUUUGAUACAUUUUAUGUAAAAGGAGUGGCGGAGACAUUUUAGAAUACAUUUUGGCCAGUUUUUAGGAAUGAUAUUUAGUCUUAGUCAUGUUACUAGCAAUUGUGCUCCAAAUUAUUUAUGUAUCUGCUUUUAAAACUAUGUCUGCACAAAGUCUCCAUGGGAAAUGUUCCAUCAGCUUGACUGAUUGUUGCCUUUACCAUUCUGAGAAUCUUGCACAUACAGCCACCUUUGAAAGAAAUAUUUCCUAUAUAGAGUGCAUACAUGUUUCUAUUACUCAUGUUCCUCAAUUGCUUAGCCCAUUUUCUAAACAACUUUAAAGACUGUAAUUGCUGUAAUCUCAAAUUCAGUGCCGCUGCCUCCUCCCUGGUGUUUUUGACACUCUCAGGAUGUGGUUUUCACACUGUGUGUCUCGCACAGUAAUACACGGCCGUGUCCUCAGGUCUCAGGCUGCUCAGCUCCAUGUAGGCUGUGCUCGUGGACGUGUCCGCUGUCAUGGUGACUCUGCCCUGGAACUUCUGUGCGUAGUUUGUGUUACCAUUACCAGGGUAGAUCCCUCCCAUCCACUCGAGCCCUUGUCCAGGGGUCUGUCGCACCCAGUGCAUAGUGUAGCUUGUGAAGGUGUAUCCAGAAGCUUUGCAGGAGACCUUCACGGAGGCCCCAGGCUUCUUCACCUCAGCCCCAAACUGCACCAGCUGCACCUGGGAGUGGGCACCUGUGGAGAGGACACAGGAGUGGGUGACAUCUCACUUGACUGGCCUGGUUUCUCCCUCUGCCCUGGGACUGGGGAGCCGCUUACCUGUUGCUGCUGCCACCAAGAAGAGGAUCCUCCAGGUCCAGUCCAUGGUCAGGAAGAUUGUCCUGGAUGAAUUUGGUUGGUCUGAUUUAAUCCCAGCAGAAGAGAAGAUAAUAGAACCCUAUGACUUGGCUGUGGAACUUCUCAGGAAUUCCAGCCUGUCUUUUCUGAUGGUCAGCUCCAUUGUCUUUGGCUGUGCCUAGCCAGACGUCACAACUGCUGUCACACAGAGCCCACUGCACAACAAAGUGUCUAUCCUCAGCUCUCUCGAAAGUCACA
This 1349-nucleotide long non-coding RNA is filed under the name Callithrix jacchus (white-tufted-ear marmoset). RNAcentral describes it as "lncRNA (ENSCJAG00000082894.1)". Lineage: Eukaryota; Metazoa; Chordata; Mammalia; Primates; Cebidae. The record is from RNAcentral.